This 857-nucleotide long non-coding RNA is filed under the name Anas platyrhynchos platyrhynchos (common mallard). RNAcentral describes it as "lncRNA (ENSAPLG00000027730.1)". The record is from RNAcentral. Lineage: Eukaryota; Metazoa; Chordata; Aves; Anseriformes; Anatidae.
UUUUAUUUUUUAAUUUUGUUAAGGAAGGAAAUAAUAAUAUUCAUUGAUGAAAUUGUAAUUUAAUGCUUUUAAAAGGCAACAUGUUCUUAAACAUUGUGGAUAAAUCUGCUAAAGACAGGAUUCACAGCUGACUAUAUAAUUAUUCAUUUGUGCCUUGGGAAACACGAGGAAUAACAUGCCUUUAUUCAUAAUCAAAGCAGAAGAAAUUUUUCCUUGAUUUUUCCUGAUUUUUCCUUUACCGGUCGCUGCAGGAUUGGUCCAGUUUCUCUCUGUUGCAUAUUGGUGUGAUAGUAAAGGAUGCAAAACUCCAAACUCCCAAGCCUUCAGCUAUUGAAAAGGCGAAAGGAAAAGGCCUCGGACAGCUGCUGGUCUCCAGGAAACACCACAAGCGGAGACCUACGGCCCCGCAUCCUAAUUACAUCCUUGGGGAGCAAGAGAGAAGACAGAGCCCUGAACACACACCAGUGGAGGCCGUAACGAGGCCCUGCAAAAGAUUUCAAAGUAAAUUCCCUGGAAGCCCAACAAGAGCCCACACUUCCCCCUGUAGUGCAUUCAUGGCGAGGAACCCAGAGAGGAGAAUCACCGUGACCCCAUCUUCAUCAGGAAAAAUAAAUACAUUUUCUUCCAUCUGAGCUGCAGUUCUGUGUGGAACCAUUUAAGCCUUUCCUGCCACCUCCAGACACUGAGGUUUGUAAUUGAAAUCCCGAAGAACAGAGCUGGCCAGCAGGCAAGCAAGAAACUGUCACCCCUUUGUAUCUGCUUUGAUUUUGGAUGAUUUAAGCAGCCAGCUGAUCUUUGCUUUUCAUUAAUAUUUAAUAAUUUUCCCUCCCCCCUGAGCUUGGCAAGGUGUUAUGAGA